GAUGAACGCUGGCGGCGUGCUUAACACAUGCAAGUCGAACGGAAAGGCCCUGCUCUUGUGGGUUGCUCGAUUGGCGAACGGGUGAGUAACACGUGUGUAACCUGCCCUUGUCUUUGGGAUAACUUUUGGGAACUGGGGCUAUUAUCCGAUAGAAGCUCUUGCUGCAUGUUGGGGGUUGGUAAGUUUCGGCGUUUGGGGAUGGACUCGCGGCUUAUCAGCUUGUUUGUGUGGUAGUGGCUUACCAAGGCUUUGACGGGUAGGCUGCCUGAGAGGGUGACCGGGCACAUUGGGACUGAGAUACGGCCCAGACUCCAACGGGAGGCAACAGGGGGGAAUAUUGCACAAUAGGCGGAAGCCUGAUGCAGCAACGCCGCGUGCGGGAUGACGGCCUUCGGGUUGUAAACCGCUUUCGACUGAGACGAAGCGUGAGUGACGGUAAUGGGUAAAAAAGCAACGGCUAACUACGUG
RNAcentral lists this ribosomal RNA (468 nucleotides) under uncultured bacterium. RNAcentral describes it as "partial 16S ribosomal RNA". It matches the Rfam family "Bacterial small subunit ribosomal RNA", at positions 28 to 507 of the family's 1533-position model. The record is from RNAcentral.